GACAUAGAGACACUGCAUAUUUUACCAAGGCUUUGACUGGAAUGGCAUGCUUUCAAAUAUAAACAGACGGCUUUAAGGAAUCAGAGUUGACCUAUAGUGCCCAUCAAAGCCCUUGGGAAAACUGGCUUCAUACUGUAUCCACCCAGUGGAUUCUUCUUGCCCAGAUGGAGCCCAUGUAUCAAGAACUUGACAGCAUGGACAUUGCCACUUGCUUCCUUCAGUCUCCUGGAGUCCCCAUGUCCUGAACACAGAGGAGGCACCCAAAUGCUUGCUGAAGCCACAUCCCUGGACCAAGUGACCUGACCCUCACCUGGAGGACCUUCACCUUCACCUCUCACCUGGAGGACCCUCUCACCUGGAAGACUCUCUCACCUGGAGGACCACCCCACCUGAAGGACUCCCAACUGGAGGACCCUCUUACCUGGGGGACCCCCUCCGCUGGAGGACCCUCUCACCUGGAGGACCCUCUUACCUGGAGGGCCCUUCACCUGGGGGACUCCCCCACCUAGAGGAUCCUCUUACCUGGAGGUCCCCUCACCUGGGGAACCCCCCCCCCACCUAGAGGAUCCUCUUACCUGGAGGGCCC
This 586-nucleotide long non-coding RNA is filed under the name Homo sapiens (human). RNAcentral's name for it is "HSALNT0235527". The record is from RNAcentral. Lineage: Eukaryota; Metazoa; Chordata; Mammalia; Primates; Hominidae.